GCCUUCGUAGCUCAGCUGGUUAGAGCGCCAGACUCAUAAUCUGGAGGCCGCGGGUUCAAGUCCCGCCGAAGGCA
Molecule: transfer RNA, 74 nt
Filed under: Candidatus Aenigmatarchaeota archaeon
Lineage: Archaea; Nanobdellati; Candidatus Aenigmatarchaeota
Description: tRNA-Met
Rfam family: tRNA
About the family: Transfer RNA (tRNA) molecules are approximately 80 nucleotides in length. Their secondary structure includes four short double-helical elements and three loops (D, anti-codon, and T loops).
Source: RNAcentral